AACCUGAAGGGUGAUAGGCCACGAAACACAAUCAACUUGAUGGCGGGAAAGAUACAAGCCUGGGAGAAUGAGACGGCAGUGAUCGUGGGAAGACAGACAUCUGCAAACAGGGCUUUGCUUGUUUUUAAGGAAAAAACUAAGGAGAAGUAGUAGUCAUUUUACUGGAUCCAGGAAAAAGAGGGAAGGCUUGCGUCAUUGGAUUAGUGUUGAUCGUCUUCUUCUUUCCUCUGGCUCAGCUCCUCUUUAAGUGCCUGGGUUCUCUUCAGGCACUCCUGCUUUUCCUCUUCAAGGUAUCUCAUCUUCCUCUGGGAUUCAUUAUUUCCUCUCUUCACCCGGGCAAGCUCAUUUUCAGCUCAGCAUCCUGGGCACCUAUUGUUUUUCUUGCAGUUAAAUCCCCUUCCAGUCGAAAAGCUUCUCCUCAAGGGAAACUUUACAAUGUCUGCAGUCUCCUAAUUCAGCAAUAGCUGCAUGUCAGGAAUCUCUUACAUAGACAGGAUUUUCUCAGCCUUCAGUUCCCCGUUAUCCCCUGAUAAAAUAUGCAAUGAAGAUUCAAGUUUUUUAUUUUCAAAUUUGACCUCAUUAAGUGUUCUUUUAAGAUCCCGAAUCUCAUCUUGAAGCAGUGAUGUUUUCAGCAAUUGGAUCCCAAGCCUGGAAGUUUCUUCUGUAAUUUGUUGCUUCUCAUAUGCAGAAACUUUAAGUUUUAAUUCCAGCCCCUUAACAAUGCUUUUA
Long non-coding RNA from Populus euphratica (Euphrates poplar), 729 nucleotides. RefSeq lists it as uncharacterized. The record is from RefSeq and is a predicted model, not a curated record. The transcript is spliced from 2 exons. Lineage: Eukaryota; Viridiplantae; Streptophyta; Magnoliopsida; Malpighiales; Salicaceae.